CGGGAUAUAGCGUAGUUUGGUAGCGCGCCUGCUUUGGGAGCAGGAUGUCGCAGGUUCAAAUCCUGCUAUCCCGA
Molecule: transfer RNA, 74 nt
Filed under: Cyanidioschyzon merolae
Lineage: Eukaryota; Rhodophyta; Bangiophyceae; Cyanidiales; Cyanidiaceae
Also listed under: 6 other names
Description: tRNA proline UGG
Rfam family: tRNA
About the family: Transfer RNA (tRNA) molecules are approximately 80 nucleotides in length. Their secondary structure includes four short double-helical elements and three loops (D, anti-codon, and T loops). Further hydrogen bonds mediate the characteristic L-shaped molecular structure. tRNAs have two regions of fundamental functional importance: the anti-codon, which is responsible for specific mRNA codon recognition, and the 3' end, to which the tRNAs corresponding amino acid is attached (by aminoacyl-tRNA synthetases). tRNAs cope with the degeneracy of the genetic code in two manners: having more than one tRNA (with a specific anti-codon) for a particular amino acid; and 'wobble' base-pairing, i.e. permitting non-standard base-pairing at the 3rd anti-codon position.
Source: RNAcentral